Molecule: ribosomal RNA, 432 nt
Filed under: Mysorea thaiensis
Lineage: Eukaryota; Metazoa; Arthropoda; Arachnida; Opiliones; Trionyxellidae
Description: partial 16S ribosomal RNA
Rfam family: Bacterial large subunit ribosomal RNA
Source: RNAcentral
CUCUAUUUGAUAGAAAAAAUAGUAGUACCUGCUCAAUGUGUUAAUAAAUGGCUAUAGUAUCCUGACUAUACAAAGGUAGCAUAAUCAUUUGUUUUUUAAUUGGAGGCUAGAAUGAAAGGCUAAUACUAGAGGAGGAAGUUUUAUUUAAAUAUAUUGAAUUUUAAUUAAGAUUAAAAAUGAUCUUAUAAAAUUCUGGGACGAGAAGACCCUAGAAGCUUUGAGGUUUAGAAAAAUCUUUCGGUUGGGGCGACUAAGGAAUAUAAGAACUUUUACGAUAGGAGUUGGAGUAUAAGUUACUCUAGGGAUAACAGCGUAAUUAAAUUGAAGAGUUCUAAUUGAGUAUUUGGUUUGCGACCUCGAUGUUGAAUUAAGAAAUGGGGAAGGUGUAGGAGCCUUGACUAAAAUAGUCUGUUCGACUAUUAAAAUUUUACA